UACGAGGGGUGCAAGCGUUAUUCGGAAUAACUGGGCGUAAAGAGCGCGUAGGCGGCUUGUUAAGUCUGUUGUUAAAUUGCCCGGCUCAACCGGGAAUCGGCAAUAGAAACUGGCGAGCUAGAGGACAAGAGAGAGAAGUGGAAUUCUCGGAGUAGCGGUAAAAUGCGUAGAUCUCGAGAGGAACACCGAUGGCGAAGGCAGCUUCUUGGCUUGUAUCUGACGCUCAAGUGCGAAAGCGUGGGGAGCAAACAGG
This 253-nucleotide ribosomal RNA is filed under the name uncultured bacterium. RNAcentral's name for it is "partial 16S ribosomal RNA". It matches the Rfam family "Bacterial small subunit ribosomal RNA", at positions 524 to 776 of the family's 1533-position model. The record is from RNAcentral.